GCAGAGUAGGACCUCAUGUGUGCCUGCGGGGCGGAAGCCCUUCAGGGCAGUGCCGGAAAAACGGGGAGUUGUUUUCCGGACGAAACGGUAAGGGCAAAAAGCCGGAACCUGCAGUAUGAGAUCCGCAUCCCGCUGC
Molecule: non-coding RNA, 136 nt
Filed under: bovine gut metagenome
Description: THF riboswitch
Rfam family: THF (Tetrahydrofolate) riboswitch aptamer
About the family: THF riboswitch presents a pseudoknot that joins P1-P2 and the loop of P3 and two THF binding.
Source: RNAcentral